UAAGGAAUAUUGGACAAUGGAGGCAACUCUGAUCCAGCCAUGCCGCGUGAAGGAAUAAGGCCCUAUAGGUUGUAAACUUCUUUUAGACGGGACAAAACCCCUUUACGUGUAAAGGGUUGAUGGUACUGUCAGAAUAAGCAUCGGCUAACUUCGUGCCAGCAGCCGCGGUAAUACGAAGGAUGCAAGCGUUAUCCGGAAUUAUUGGGUUUAAAGGGUGCGUAGGCGGACUAAUAAGUCAGUGGUGAAAGCCUGCAGCUUAACUGCAGAAUUGCCAUUGAUACUGUUAGUCUUGAGUACAGUUGAGGUAGGCGGAAUGUGUCAUGUAGCGGUGAAAUGCUUAGAUAUGACACAGAACACCGAUUGCGAAGGCAGCUUGCUAAGCUGUAACUGACGCUGAGGCACGAAAGCGUGGGGAGCAAAC
This 421-nucleotide ribosomal RNA is filed under the name uncultured bacterium. RNAcentral describes it as "bacterial SSU rRNA". It matches the Rfam family "Bacterial small subunit ribosomal RNA", at positions 355 to 773 of the family's 1533-position model. The record is from RNAcentral.